GGAUGAACGCUAGCGACAGGCUUAACGCAUGCAAGUCGAGGGGCAGCGUGGCGGUAGCAAUACUGCUGACGGCGACCGGCGCACUGGUGAGUAACACGUAUGCGACCUGCCCCAGUCAGGGGGAUAAUCGUGAGAAAUCGCGUCUAAUACCCCAUAGUUGCGUCCGCUGCAUGGCGGAUGUAGGAAAGAUUCAUCGGACUGGGAUGGGCAUGCGGCGCAUUAGCUAGUUGGCGGGGCAACGGCCCACCAAGGCGACGAUGCGUAGGGGUUCUGAGAGGAAGGUCCCCCACAUUGGUACUGAGACACGGACCAAACUCCUACGGGAGGCAGCAGUGAGGAAUAUUGGUCAAUGGACGAGAGUCUGAACCAGCCAAGUCGCGUGAAGGAAGAAGGUCCUACGGAUUGUAAACUUCUUUUGUCCGAGAGCAACGUGCGCCACGUGUGGCGCAGUGAGAGUAUCGGAAGAAAAAGCAUCGGCUAACUCCGUGCCAGCAGCCGCGGUAAUACGGAGGAUGCGAGCGUUAUCCGGAUUUAUUGGGUUUAAAGGGUGCGUAGGCGGCGCUUUAAGUCAGCGGUAAAAAUGCGGUGCUCAACGCCGUAGAGCCGUUGAAACUGGAGUGCUUGUGUUCGAGCGAGGCAUGCGGAAUGCGCGGUGUAGCGGUGAAAUGCAUAGAUAUUGCGCAGAACUCCGAUUGCGAAGGCAGCGUGCCAGCUCGCGACAGACGCUGAGGCACGAAAGCGUGGGUAUCGAACAGGGUUAGAUACCCUGGUAGUCCACGCAGUAAACGAUGAAUACUAGCUAUCCGGGUCGAUUGGGACCUGGGUGGCACAGCGAAAGCGUUAAGUAUUCCACCUGGGGAGUACGCCGGCAACGGUGAAACUCAAAGGAAUUGACGGGGGCCCGCACAAGCGGAGGAACAUGUGGUUUAAUUCGAUGAUACGCGAGGAACCUUACCCGGGCUCAAACGGCAGUCGAACAAUGCGGAAACGUGUUGGCCAGCAAUGGCGGCUGCCGAGGUGCUGCAUGGUUGUCGUCAGCUCGUGCCGUGAGGUGUCGGCUUAAGUGCCAUAACGAGCGCAACCCCCAUUUUCAGUUGCUAACGAGUUAAGUCGAGCACUCUGGAGAGACUGCCGGCGCAAGCUGUGAGGAAGGCGGGGAUGACGUCAAAUCAGCACGGCCCUUACGUCCGGGGCGACACACGUGUUACAAUGGUGGGGCACAGAAGGAAGUGCGGCGGCGACGCCAAACGGAUCCCGAAAACCCAUCUCAGUUCGGAUUGGAGUCUGCAACCCGACUCCAUGAAGCUGGAUUCGCUAGUAAUCGCGCAUCAGCCAUGGCGCGGUGAAUACGUUCCCGGGCCUUGUACACACC
RNAcentral lists this ribosomal RNA (1372 nucleotides) under uncultured Porphyromonadaceae bacterium. RNAcentral describes it as "bacterial SSU rRNA". It matches the Rfam family "Bacterial small subunit ribosomal RNA", at positions 27 to 1391 of the family's 1533-position model. The record is from RNAcentral. Lineage: Bacteria; Pseudomonadati; Bacteroidota; Bacteroidia; Bacteroidales; Porphyromonadaceae.